This 460-nucleotide ribosomal RNA is filed under the name uncultured bacterium. RNAcentral's name for it is "partial 16S ribosomal RNA". It matches the Rfam family "Bacterial small subunit ribosomal RNA", at positions 338 to 795 of the family's 1533-position model. The record is from RNAcentral.
CCUACGGGUGGCAGCAGUGAGGAAUAUUGGUCAAUGGACGGAAGUCUGAACCAGCCAUGCCGCGUGCAGGAAGACGGCUCUCUGAGUUGUAAACUGCUUUUGUACAAGGGUAAACCUGAAUACGUGAAUUCAGCUGAAAGUACUGUACGAAUAAGGGUCGGCUAACUCAGUGCCAGCAGCCGCGGUAAUACGGAGGAUACAAGCGUUAUCCGGAUUGAUUGGGUUUAAAGGGUGCGUAGGCGGAUUGAUAAGUUAGAGGUGAAAUGUCCGAGCUUAACUCGGGAACUGCCUGUAAUACUGUAGAUCUAGAGUGUAGAUGCGGUAGGCGGAAUGUAUGGUGUAGCGGUGAAAUGCUUAGAGAUCAUACAGAACACCGAUUGCGAAGGCAGCUUACUAAUCUAUAUCUGACGUUGAGGUACGAAAGCGUGGGGAGCAAACAGGAUUAGAUACCCUUGUAGUC